Non-coding RNA from Blastomyces dermatitidis ER-3, 89 nucleotides. The record is from the annotation of a RefSeq genome assembly. Lineage: Eukaryota; Fungi; Ascomycota; Eurotiomycetes; Onygenales; Ajellomycetaceae.
GGUCCUGUGGUCUAGUGGUAUGAUUCUCGCUUUGGGUUCACAACAUCCUGAUCUGCGAGAGGCCCCGUGUUCGAAUCACGGCAGGACCC